UUAAGCGACUAAGCGUACACGGUGGAUGCCCUGGCAGUCAGAGGCGAUGAAGGACGUGCUAAUCUGCGAUAAGCGUCGGUAAGGUGAUAUGAACCGUUAUAACCGGCGAUUUCCGAAUGGGGAAACCCAGUGUGUUUCGACACACUAUCAUUAACUGAAUCCAUAGGUUAAUGAGGCGAACCGGGGGAACUGAAACAUCUAAGUACCCCGAGGAAAAGAAAUCAACCGAGAUUCCCCCAGUAGCGGCGAGCGAACGGGGAGCAGCCCAGAGCCUGAAUCAGUAUGUGUGUUAGUGGAAGCGUCUGGAAAGGCGCGCGAUACAGGGUGACAGCCCCGUACACAAAAAUGCACAUGCUGUGAGCUCGAUGAGUAGGGCGGGACACGUGGUAUCCUGUCUGAAUAUGGGGGGACCAUCCUCCAAGGCUAAAUACUCCUGACUGACCGAUAGUGAACCAGUACCGUGAGGGAAAGGCGAAAAGAACCCCGGCGAGGGGAGUGAAAAAGAACCUGAAACCGUGUACGUACAAGCAGUGGGAGCACGCUUAGGCGUGUGACUGCGUACCUUUUGUAUAAUGGGUCAGCGACUUAUAUUCUGUAGCAAGGUUAACCGAAUAGGGGAGCCGAAGGGAAACCGAGUCUUAACUGGGCGUUAAGUUGCAGGGUAUAGACCCGAAACCCGGUGAUCUAGCCAUGGGCAGGUUGAAGGUUGGGUAACACUAACUGGAGGACCGAACCGACUAAUGUUGAAAAAUUAGCGGAUGACUUGUGGCUGGGGGUGAAAGGCCAAUCAAACCGGGAGAUAGCUGGUUCUCCCCGAAAGCUAUUUAGGUAGCGCCUCGUGAAUUCAUCUCCGGGGGUAGAGCACUGUUUCGGCAAGGGGGUCAUCCCGACUUACCAACCCGAUGCAAACUGCGAAUACCGGAGAAUGUUAUCACGGGAGACACACGGCGGGUGCUAACGUCCGUCGUGAAGAGGGAAACAACCCAGACCGCCAGCUAAGGUCCCAAAGUCAUGGUUAAGUGGGAAACGAUGUGGGAAGGCCCAGACAGCCAGGAUGUUGGCUUAGAAGCAGCCAUCAUUUAAAGAAAGCGUAAUAGCUCACUGGUCGAGUCGGCCUGCGCGGAAGAUGUAACGGGGCUAAACCAUGCACCGAAGCUGCGGCAGCGACGCUGAUGCGUUGUUGGGUAGGGGAGCGUUCUGUAAGCCUGUGAAGGUGUACUGUGAGGUAUGCUGGAGGUAUCAGAAGUGCGAAUGCUGACAUAAGUAACGAUAAAGCGGGUGAAAAGCCCGCUCGCCGGAAGACCAAGGGUUCCUGUCCAACGUUAAUCGGGGCAGGGUGAGUCGACCCCUAAGGCGAGGCCGAAAGGCGUAGUCGAUGGGAAACAGGUUAAUAUUCCUGUACUUGGUGUUACUGCGAAGGGGGGACGGAGAAGGCUAUGUUGGCCGGGCGACGGUUGUCCCGGUUUAAGCGUGUAGGCUGGUUUUCCAGGCAAAUCCGGAAAAUCAAGGCUGAGGCGUGAUGACGAGGCACUACGGUGCUGAAGCAACAAAUGCCCUGCUUCCAGGAAAAGCCUCUAAGCAUCAGGUAACAUCAAAUCGUACCCCAAACCGACACAGGUGGUCAGGUAGAGAAUACCAAGGCGCUUGAGAGAACUCGGGUGAAGGAACUAGGCAAAAUGGUGCCGUAACUUCGGGAGAAGGCACGCUGAUAUGUAGGUGAAGUCCCUCGCGGAUGGAGCUGAAAUCAGUCGAAGAUACCAGCUGGCUGCAACUGUUUAUUAAAAACACAGCACUGUGCAAACACGAAAGUGGACGUAUACGGUGUGACGCCUGCCCGGUGCCGGAAGGUUAAUUGAUGGGGUUAGCGCAAGCGAAGCUCUUGAUCGAAGCCCCGGUAAACGGCGGCCGUAACUAUAACGGUCCUAAGGUAGCGAAAUUCCUUGUCGGGUAAGUUCCGACCUGCACGAAUGGCGUAAUGAUGGCCAGGCUGUCUCCACCCGAGACUCAGUGAAAUUGAACUCGCUGUGAAGAUGCAGUGUACCCGCGGCAAGACGGAAAGACCCCGUGAACCUUUACUAUAGCUUGACACUGAACAUUGAGCCUUGAUGUGUAGGAUAGGUGGGAGGCUUUGAAGUGUGGACGCCAGUCUGCAUGGAGCCGACCUUGAAAUACCACCCUUUAAUGUUUGAUGUUCUAACGUUGACCCGUGAUCCGGGUUGCGGACAGUGUCUGGUGGGUAGUUUGACUGGGGCGGUCUCCUCCUAAAGAGUAACGGAGGAGCACGAAGGUUGGCUAAUCCUGGUCGGACAUCAGGAGGUUAGUGCAAUGGCAUAAGCCAGCUUGACUGCGAGCGUGACGGCGCGAGCAGGUGCGAAAGCAGGUCAUAGUGAUCCGGUGGUUCUGAAUGGAAGGGCCAUCGCUCAACGGAUAAAAGGUACUCCGGGGAUAACAGGCUGAUACCGCCCAAGAGUUCAUAUCGACGGCGGUGUUUGGCACCUCGAUGUCGGCUCAUCACAUCCUGGGGCUGAGUAGGUCCCAAGGGUAUGGCUGUUCGCCAUUUAAAGUGGUACGCGAGCUGGUUUAGAACGUCGUGAGACAGUUCGGUCCCUAUCUGCCGUGGGCGCUGGAGAACUGAGGGGGGCUGCUCCUAGUACGAGAGGACCGGAGUGGACGCAUCACUGGUGUUCGGGUUGUCAUGCCAAUGGCACUGCCCGGUAGCUAAAUGCGGAAGAGAUAAGUGCUGAAAGCAUCUAAGCACGAAACUUGCCCCGAGAUGAGUUCUCCCUGACUCCUUGAGAGUCCUGAAGGAACGUUGAAGACGACGACGUUGAUAGGCCGGGUGUGUAAGCGCAGCGAUGCGUUGAGCUAACCGGUACUAAUGAACCGUGAGGCUUAACCUU
This 2900-nucleotide ribosomal RNA is filed under the name Escherichia coli. RNAcentral describes it as "bacterial LSU rRNA". It matches the Rfam family "Bacterial large subunit ribosomal RNA". The record is from RNAcentral. Lineage: Bacteria; Pseudomonadati; Pseudomonadota; Gammaproteobacteria; Enterobacterales; Enterobacteriaceae.